This 245-nucleotide non-coding RNA is filed under the name Clostridium sulfidigenes. RNAcentral describes it as "T-box sequence". It matches the Rfam family "T-box leader". Rfam says of the family: Uncharged tRNA acts as the effector for transcription antitermination of genes in the T-box leader family. T-boxes are found upstream of many aminoacyl-tRNA synthetase genes and some amino acid biosynthetic genes usually in Gram-positive bacteria. The record is from RNAcentral. Lineage: Bacteria; Bacillati; Bacillota; Clostridia; Eubacteriales; Clostridiaceae.
AUAAAGACUGUGAUGAGAAGAGUAGAUAUGAGAAGUAGUUAAAGCGAGUUGACGAUGGUGGAAGGUCAAUAUGAAGCUCUUAUUGAAGAACAUCUCGGAGUUUCUAACCGAAAUCUUAGGAGAGUAGACUUAGACGGAAUCUCACCGUUAAAAGAGAAGAGUAUCAAGAGAGAUCUUUGUACUUGUUGAGUUGAUCAAUAUGAUAAUUUGGGUGGUACCGCGGAAUGUAUCCUUUCGUCCCUGUU